RNAcentral lists this ribosomal RNA (447 nucleotides) under uncultured bacterium. RNAcentral describes it as "partial 16S ribosomal RNA". It matches the Rfam family "Bacterial small subunit ribosomal RNA", at positions 29 to 523 of the family's 1533-position model. The record is from RNAcentral.
AACGAACGCUGGCGGCAGGCUUAACACAUGCAAGUCGAGCGCCCCGCAAGGGGAGCGGCAGACGGGUGAGUAACGCGUGGGAAUCUACCUUUUGCUACGGAAUAACUCAGGGAAACUGGUGCUAAUACCGUAUGUGCCCUUCGGGGGAAAGAUUUAUCGGCAGAGGAGGAGCCCGCGUUGGAUUAGGUAGUUGGUGGGGUAAUGGCCUACCAAGCCGACGAUCCGUAGCUGGUCUGAGAGGAUGAUCAGCCACAUUGGGACUGAGACACGGCCCAAACUCCUACGGGAGGCAGCAGUGGGGAAUAUUGGACAAUGGGCGCAAGCCUGAUCCAGCCAUACCGCGUGAGUGAUGAAGGCCCUAGGGUUGUAAAGCUCUUUCACCGGUGAAGAUAAUGACGGUAACCGGAGAAGAAGCCCCGGCUAACUUCGUGCCAGCCGCCGCAGUAA